Molecule: ribosomal RNA, 253 nt
Filed under: uncultured bacterium
Lineage: Bacteria
Description: partial 16S ribosomal RNA
Rfam family: Bacterial small subunit ribosomal RNA
Source: RNAcentral
UACGUAGGGUGCAAGCGUUGUCCGGAAUUAUUGGGCGUAAAGGGCUCGUAGGCGGUUUGUCGCGUCGGGAGUGAAAACCCAGGGCUUAACCCUGGGCCUGCUUCCGAUACGGGCAGACUAGAGGUAUGCAGGGGAGAACGGAAUUCCUGGUGUAGCGGUGAAAUGCGUAGAUAUCGAGAGGAACACCUGCGGCGAAGGCGGGUUGCUGGGCUGACACUGACGCUGAGGCGCGAAAGCUAGGGGAGCGAACGGG